GUGUGUCGGGGGCCGCGCGAGCGCGUGUAUGUGACGGACGGCUCGUACCCGGGGCCCGAGUACGUACGCGCGUGUUCCAUAGAUGUGCAACGGCGUCGGCCAAGGAGGGCCUCAAGUUGCGUCGCGCGGCGCUUGGGUGUGACACGGGUGCGCGCGCGCACGCCUUUAGUGAUCACGCCGACGAGGACGAGGAGGAGCCGAGUCGGCUACAUCGACCGAGGAGCGGGCGUUCGAGUGGCCCCCGGUCCCGGGGUGCUGUGAGGUCGAGAGUGAGCUGCGAGACGGCAUCGAAAAAACGAGAGAAAAAGAGAUGGAGAAUGAGAAAGAAAUGCCAACUACUAGCGAGCGAAAUUCAAUGAAGCUCCCUACUCGCACGGCCUCGAGAUCCUAUAGAAUCGCAGACACCGAUUAACAAGAGCGCAAAGAUAAAUUUUUUAAAGAGAACGCUCGACUGCAGCGGAUAAGCGCAAGAUACGGGAGAGAAAGAGGGGGUGAGCGAGGGGGGGCUCUAACUAGCUCCAGUAUCCCACGCAUUAUCAGCACGAGAUAAGCAAGCCUACGAGAUAAACAGGAGAGACAGAGAGAGAGAGAGAGAGAGAGAGAGAGAGCAAAAAGAG
Molecule: long non-coding RNA, 617 nt
Organism: Ceratosolen solmsi marchali
Lineage: Eukaryota; Metazoa; Arthropoda; Insecta; Hymenoptera; Agaonidae
Exons: 3
Source: RefSeq, a predicted model, not a curated record